Molecule: transfer-messenger RNA, 364 nt
Filed under: Gammaproteobacteria (g-proteobacteria)
Lineage: Bacteria; Pseudomonadati; Pseudomonadota
Also listed under: 1 other name
Description: JAADJB01 sp013151035 Standard tmRNA
Rfam family: transfer-messenger RNA
About the family: Bacterial tmRNA, also known as 10Sa RNA or SsrA, is named for its dual tRNA and mRNA-like properties. Its role is to liberate the mRNA from a stalled ribosome.
Source: RNAcentral
GGGGACGACUUGGCUUCGACGCGGGUUGCGAAACUUGAGGUGCAUGCCGAGGGACAGAAUUACCUCGUAAAUCCAGUCUGUAAACUUAUAGUUGCCAACGACGACAACUACGCACUAGCUGCUUAAAAACCAGUGUAGUGCCUUCGGCCUGAUGUGUGUCUGUACGCUCAGAUCACCGGAGUCAUCCCAUACAGAAUCGCGAUGAAGCACGUUCAGGGUGGAUUCGCUAAAACUUAACUGAACUCGCUGUUUGUCUUCCCUGCCCGUCGGGUAGCAAACCGUUAAACUUAAAGGCGCGGAUAAGCAUGUAGAGCCAACAGCAGAGGAUCUGCGGACGCGGGUUCGAUUCCCGCCGUCUCCACCA